UUUAGUGAAAGCUCGGGUCUUCUAUUCUCGGGUCGAAUUUGCCAGCGGCUGUGGCCGGAUAGGAGAGCCGAAGGCCGCGCCGCUCCUGCUGCGCUACGGUGGUGGCAGAGAGGGCGAAGAGGAGGGGAAGAGGAGGGGUUAGGAUGUGGGAGAGGGGUGGAGGCGGAGGGCGGAGGCGUGCGGGCCGUCUAGGGAGAGGGAGAGGGCCACGGGGGCGGGUGAGCGGAGGGGAGGGGGGAGCAAGCGGCAGCGGCGGCAGUUGCUGCUGCUCGUGCUGAUGCUGCUGCUACAGCAGGAGCCGCUGACGGAGCAGAAGCUCCUGCUCCGGAAGCUCCGGGGGCUGGAGCUGGAGCCGGAGCCGGCGGGCAGGAGGGUGGGGUCGGCCUUCGCUGGCCGCCGGGCACCGCCCCCGUCGGACCACGGCCUCGCCACCUUCCUGCGGCACCUCCUCUAGUUGGACUGCUUCUUCCUCUUCGCGGCGUAGCGCGUGCCCGACGCGAAGCCCUCGGCGGAGCUGGCGGCCCACGGGAGGCGGCACCGGCGGGGGCUGCUCAUGGCGCGCAUGGCGCUCCCCUCCGACCUGCGGCUCGAGCCGGUGCCGCGCGCGCUGAUGGACCACAGAGGCGAGCUCUCGUCCAGGGCGCGCAUGUCGCUCCACUCCGACCUGCGCCUCGGGCCCGCGCAGCGCUCGUUGGUGCAGCUCGGCGAGCUCCUCUACAGGGAACGCGGCCUCUUCCACCUCCGAGGCGGCGGAGGCGGAGGGCCCUGUGCGCGCCGCGGGUCCUUAGGAUCCUGCCGCUACCUGAGCCAGUCAGAACUCCUGUAGCGCCUCGACAAAUUGUCAUCGGUCAUACAGGGUCCGCUCUGCCUCCUACCGUUCUCGCGCUCCUCAGCGGCCUUCGACAAGUGCCUACUCCUUUUCCAAGAAGACUUGUCCUCUAAUGGACUAGACCUUCCACGACGAAGGUCAUUCACCGACGGUGAAGUGUGGGAACGACGUAGUCCUCUGAAGAUAGAUAACCUGUUAGAAGACUUUGUAUUCCACCUACAUUUACGUGAACUAUUCCUACCAAACGGUCGUUAAGUAUUUCGUUAAUAAAGCUUCUUCGUACGAUAGUAGUUGAUAGAGAAUUCCUUAAGUCGUUUAGGUAGACAGACACUAUCUCUACCACGUUGGGAUUACGUAAUACGACAGGUUUGUCGUACGUUAGUCUGAUAUUUUUGCGAUAACGAGAUGUUACAACUAUAGUUAGCAGGUCUACUAAUACCGACCUGUGGCAACGUAGAUCGGCACGUUUGUGUCUCUUGGCUAUAACACUCCGAUGAGAAUGAUUUUCCACGAUUAUCUUGAAACUUUUUAGUUUAGGAAGUUCGCCUGGUACAAUAUACAUGUUUGUAGUCGGGGCGGCAUCGUAUUAUUGACCGCAGGAACAAGCCAACGAGUAGGAAUAGUUACCUCAUAAACGAAGAGAAACGACACGUAGUUACGUGAAGUUAAAGCUUGUAGAGUCGAUCCUGGGGGAAGGUUUAGAUCUGUAUAAAUACAACACCGACCUCUUCUAUAACCCCUCUCCAAUAUGAAUUUCGGAUAUUACCAAAAGGUGUCCUUAAUAA
This 1614-nucleotide ribosomal RNA is filed under the name Triticum aestivum (bread wheat). Its description in RNAcentral is "partial small subunit ribosomal RNA". Lineage: Eukaryota; Viridiplantae; Streptophyta; Magnoliopsida; Poales; Poaceae. The record is from RNAcentral.